RNAcentral lists this ribosomal RNA (460 nucleotides) under uncultured bacterium. Its description in RNAcentral is "partial 16S ribosomal RNA". It matches the Rfam family "Bacterial small subunit ribosomal RNA", at positions 338 to 795 of the family's 1533-position model. The record is from RNAcentral.
CCUACGGGAGGCAGCAGUGAGGAAUAUUGGUCAAUGGGCGCGAGCCUGAACCAGCCAAGUCGCGUGAAGGAAGACGGCCCUAUGGUUUGUAAACUUCUUUUAUAGGGGAAUAAAGUGAGGCACGUGUGCCUCUUUGCGUGUACCCUAUGAAUAAGCAUCGGCUAACUCCGUGCCAGCAGCCGCGGUAAUACGGAGGAUGCGAGCGUUAUCCGGAUUUAUUGGGUUUAAAGGGUGCGUAGGUGGGUGGUUAAGUCAGGUGUGAAAGUUUGGGGCUCAACCGUAAAAUUGCAAUUGAUACUGGCAGUCUAGAGUACAGUUGAGGUAGGCGGAAUUCGUGGUGUAGCGGUGAAAUGCUUAGAUAUCACGAAGAACUCCGAUUGCGAAGGCAGCUUACUAAACUGCCACUGACAUUGAUGCUCGAAAGUGUGGGUAUCAAACAGGAUUAGAUACCCCAGUAGUC